UUUUGCCAGUUUUCUCGCCCUCGCCUUGGAUCUCAUCUUGUCGGCUUGUAGAUUCCUCUCGUCGUCCUCCGUGAGCCCAGAAGCAGCAACAACACUAUCUUCAUCUCACCAGCAUUCUCCUGCCAGCACCUCCUUGCAUUUUACCCCCUUAACAGCGAGAACUUGGUUUUCUCCAACCGGCGGUGGACACAGUGAAGUAUGGUGAGGUCAAGGUCGUGUUAUUCUGGGAAUUAACCUGAAGUUGUGUUAAAUGAUUUGGAUUAUGAGGAUAUUCUUUAUACAUUAAAUCAUUCAUUAUUAUUAUUAUUAAUAUUAAUAAUAACAAUAAUAAUAAUUAGUAUUAGUAUUUCUAAUAAUUAUUAUUAUUUCACAAUAAUAACAUUAUUUUUAUUGUCAUAAAUUGAUAUCUGAAUAAUUGCCAUUCUGAGUUCUAACAGAAACCUUUUCUUUAGGUGGCAGCUGAUAAAGUGCUCGACGUUAUUUUGCACAUGCAGGAGUAAGAGGUGCAAGACCCGAUUGGAGUUGCACUUUACGGACUGUGACAUGAUUGUGUGUAUGCGUGUGCACGCGCGCGCGCGCGACCACUUUUGUGCACACGUGUGUGUGUGUGUGUGUGUCUGUGUGUAAACCUUGUUGCCCUUAGGACAAGCUGCGGACAGCAGCCGUUUGACGCUUCUAUGGAGGCUCCACCAGAAGAGUCCGCAUACCGGCCAGAAUCCGAUUGGCUUUUUUCUUCACCCCUUUCUUUUCCUUUCAUGUUCAAGUUUGUAUUUGCAGGAGAUAUUUCUCGGAGAAGUGUUCGUGUUUGCAGUUGGCCCCAUGGUGCCGCAAAAAGUCAAAUGAACGAAGUUGGACACACUUUCCCUUCGUAAGUAUGACUUUCGCUUUGCACCUGUUUGUUUGUUUGUUUGUUCGUUUGUUUGUUCGAGGAGAAUGUCUUCAUGCUACACCAUCAGUCGGGUGAGGCCUUCAGGAGUGCAAGGUAAUUUAAUAUAUAUUUAUUAAUUAAAGAAAUUAGACAAAUAUUGAAUAACUACAUAAUUAUGCUGUAGUAAUUUUACUUAUUUUUGUAAUAUCGAAAUUGUAAUUUUAUUAGGCAAAAUAAAUCUAAUUUUGAAAUUGUAGGUCAUAAUUUAAAUGCUAAUAAUAAUUAGUACAAUAAUAAUAAUUGCUGUUGCUUUAAUAAUUAUAUUUAGAGUAAUCAUAUUAUUAUAAUUGUUUCAUAUAAUACUGUAUACUAUGUAUUAAUAAAUUGUAUAUUUUGUAUCCAAAAAGUAUGGAAUUUUAACUUCGAAAAAUAAACAAAAGGAUACUUUGUAGAAGCUGUGGUAUUACAAUAGGUAUUUUAUUAUACAAUAAAGUCCAGUUUGACUGAUGGUGGUAGGCAGGUCGUCAUAUCCGUGCGGUGCCUGGACCCACAUGUCAUAUGGGAAUGGUUUCCGUCUAGUUUGGCACAAUAAAGGCGGCUCUAUGUUGGAGCCCAUUAAAGGCCGGUGGUGAUGGAGCAACUGCAGUCUGCUGGGAGAGCGGUAGGGAUCAAUUCUGUGCACACUAAUCCCACCACACUUUUAUUGGAUAGGUACUUGCAUACCCAAUCAUAAAUAUUAUUUGCAUCAUUUUUUAUUUGCAUUCAUUUUUGUAACCAUAUGUUGAGCUUUUGCUGAACAUUACGUUGGCAUUAAACCAUUACAAAUAUAUCGCGGUCUGCCUGAUAUUUCUUUGUUUUUCUUGCCUCGCGGUUGAACUGCAGCUUGUUGCUCAUUGUCAUGCACGUGAAACAACAAUUGAUUUGAAUAAAGGCUCGAGUUAAUCAAA
Molecule: non-coding RNA, 1815 nt
Organism: Gasterosteus aculeatus aculeatus (three-spined stickleback)
Lineage: Eukaryota; Metazoa; Chordata; Actinopteri; Perciformes; Gasterosteidae
Source: RefSeq, a predicted model, not a curated record